UCUACGGGAGGCAGCAGUGAGGAAUAUUGGUCAAUGGGCGGAAGCCUGAACCAGCCAAGCCGCGUGAGGGAAGAAGGUACAGCGUAUCGUAAACCUCUUUUGUCAGGGAACAAAGGCGGGGACUAGUCCCCGGAUGAGGGUACCUGAAGAAAAAGCAUCGGCUAACUCCGUGCCAGCAGCCGCGGUAAUACGGAGGAUGCGAGCGUUAUCCGGAUUUAUUGGGUUAAAAGGGUGGGUAGGCGGAAUAUCAAGUCAGCGGUAAAAAUUCGGGGCUCAACCCCGUCGUGCCGUUGAAACUGAUGUUCUUGAGUGGGCGAGAAGUAUGCGGAAUGCGUGGGGUAGCGGUGAAAUGCAUAGAUAUCACGCAGAACUCCGAUUGCGAAGGCAGCAUACCGGCGCCCAACUGACGCUGAAGCACGAAAGCGUGGGUAUCGAACAGGAUUAGAUACCCGAGUAGUC
RNAcentral lists this ribosomal RNA (459 nucleotides) under uncultured bacterium. RNAcentral's name for it is "partial 16S ribosomal RNA". It matches the Rfam family "Bacterial small subunit ribosomal RNA", at positions 338 to 795 of the family's 1533-position model. The record is from RNAcentral.